This 832-nucleotide ribosomal RNA is filed under the name Pedobacter sp. PA17. Its description in RNAcentral is "bacterial SSU rRNA". It matches the Rfam family "Bacterial small subunit ribosomal RNA", at positions 85 to 917 of the family's 1533-position model. Lineage: Bacteria; Pseudomonadati; Bacteroidota; Sphingobacteriia; Sphingobacteriales; Sphingobacteriaceae. The record is from RNAcentral.
ACUUACGGAAGUGGCGCACGGGUGCGUAACGCGUAUGCAACCUACCUUAAUCAGGGGGAUAGCCCGAAGAAAUUCGGAUUAACACCGCAUAAAAACACAGGAUAGCAUUAUCCAAUGUUCAAAUAUUUAUAGGAUUAAGAUGGGCAUGCGUGUCAUUAGCUAGUUGGCGGGGUAACGGCCCACCAAGGCGACGAUGACUAGGGGAUCUGAGAGGAUGACCCCCCACACUGGUACUGAGACACGGACCAGACUCCUACGGGAGGCAGCAGUAAGGAAUAUUGGUCAAUGGAGGCAACUCUGAACCAGCCAUGCCGCGUGCAGGAAGACAGCCCUCUGGGUCGUAAACUGCUUUUAUUCGGGAAUAAACCUAUCUACGUGUAGAUAGCUGAAUGUACCGAAGGAAUAAGGAUCGGCUAACUCCGUGCCAGCAGCCGCGGUAAUACGGAGGAUCCAAGCGUUAUCCGGAUUUAUUGGGUUUAAAGGGUGCGUAGGCGGCUUAUUAAGUCAGGGGUGAAAGACGGUGGCUCAACCAUCGCAGUGCCCUUGAUACUGAUGAGCUUGAAUACACUAGAGGUAGGCGGAAUGUGACAAGUAGCGGUGAAAUGCAUAGAUAUGUCACAGAACACCGAUUGCGAAGGCAGCUUACUAUGGUGUGAUUGACGCUGAGGCACGAAAGCGUGGGGAUCAAACAGGAUUAGAUACCCUGGUAGUCCACGCCCUAAACGAUGAAUACUCGCUGUUAGCGAUACACAGUUAGCGGCUAAGCGAAAGCGUUAAGUAUUCCACCUGGGGAGUACGCUCGCAAGAGUGAAACUCAAAGAAAUUUGACGGA